RNAcentral lists this long non-coding RNA (1123 nucleotides) under Anser cygnoides (Swan goose). RNAcentral's name for it is "lncRNA (ENSACDG00005009425.1)". The record is from RNAcentral. Lineage: Eukaryota; Metazoa; Chordata; Aves; Anseriformes; Anatidae.
AUGGCUAUGACCGAGGCUACUGUUCCACGGUGGAAUUGAAAACAUCCGUGUAGUUUCCAUAGAAAACCAGGUCAAUGGUGCUUCCAUAAAGUAUUAGCCCCAGGGAAAGCCCUUGGUUGCAUGUUGCCUGUACAAAUCCAUGCAGGGUGAGUAGCAUAAGGUGCAUGUCUCUUUCAGGUAAAUUACACUUAAGGAGUCAGAUCGAUUUAGUCUUUAGUGACCUAUUUCAGAAUCUUUCUCCAGACGUUAAAGUACUAAUUGCAAGUACCAUCCCUCAUCUAUUUAUGUCUAUCUUUUCUUCUAUUUUGUGCAUUUAGGAACAUUUAUGAAGUAUCUCAUGAACACCGCAUGCACAAUGAAUAUGGUUUUGUAUCGCUUCUUAGUGUCCUUUGUCAUUUCCAACCGCAUCCUCCAGAAGGUAAAACAAGUCCUUGCUCAGCCUGUAGAAAGAAGAUUGGAAAGUGUUUGAUGGGAAUUACCAGAGCCUGCUGCCUCCCAGCUGCUGCCUGACUUUGAGUGUCAAGCAAUCAGAAAUACCAAGAUGUGUGGCAUUUCUUCAGUGUGGUGAAGGGCAGUUUUGUUCGCUUCUGACAGGUGGGUCAGCCAUUCUUGGAGCAGCAGACAGCUCGAAGUGUGUUAAUGGGGUAACUGCCAAAGUGUGUUAAUGGUGUAACUGCCAAAAAAUGAUCCUGAAGGCAUUCCCAAUAUUUCCAAGAAUAUCAUACCAAGCAAAACCACUUCUUAUGGUCAUGUGGGACACACACAGAUCAGAGUUAGAGUUGGGCUAGCAGCUAUGCCAUGUGAUGUGAGUAAAUUACCAUCUCUCUCCUCUCAAUUUAGUCACUUAUUAAACUGGGAAAUAGUCUCAGCAUGCUGUACGAGGGUACUGGGAAGACAACUUAGCCUCAGCUAAAAGUGUGCUUAAAAUUUUGCAUUGGAGAGCAUAAUAGAAGUGUGAAGCAUCUUAUGUUAGACGCUGUGGAAUUAGCAAGCAUGGCUAAUCCCUAGCAUUCAACAAUAAUUUCUCUGUACUGGGACAGAAAUACAACACCAAUAAGAAAAGUGCAGUGGCUAGACCAAUGGCAGCUGCAAUAAAGCAGCAUUUUGAUUUGUUAGUCUCUCA